AGCAGCAGCAGCUGGUUCUGAAGAAGCUGGUCAUCCCCCUCCUGUCUCGACCCACAACAGACUCUGGCUGUGUGUCCAACUCUAACAGCAGUGUGGACUGGCUGCAGAAGAACUUGGGGCCAUUCUCAGUUCUUGUGUCCCUCAGGGACCUGCUAGAAUUCAACACAGACUUCUCUCCUUUGUCAGCCCUGGAGGUUCUCUCUCCAAAGCAGACUGCAGAGCUGGUGGUGUUGCCUCUUCCUGGUCUUCCAGGGAAAGAUGUCAUCAUCAACACAG
Salmo salar (Atlantic salmon) is the source of this 276-nucleotide non-coding RNA. NCBI's taxonomy places the organism in Eukaryota, Metazoa, Chordata, Actinopteri, Salmoniformes, Salmonidae. The record is from RefSeq and is a predicted model, not a curated record.